Molecule: ribosomal RNA, 253 nt
Filed under: uncultured bacterium
Lineage: Bacteria
Description: partial 16S ribosomal RNA
Rfam family: Bacterial small subunit ribosomal RNA
Source: RNAcentral
UACGGAGGGUGCAAGCGUUAUCCGGAAUCACUGGGUUUAAAGGGUGCGUAGGCGGCUUGAUAAGUCAGAGGUGAAAGCCUGGAGCUUAACUUCAGAACUGCCUUUGAUACUGUCGAGCUUGAAAGAGAUUGAGGUCAGCGGAACGUGACAUGUAGCGGUGAAAUGCAUAGAUAUGUCGCAGAACACCAAUGGCGAAGGCAGCUAACUGGGUCGUCUUUGACGCUGAGGCACGAAAGCGUGGGGAGCGAACAGG